UCAUCAGGGUGGGAUGAAGGCACUAAAUGUGGCUGGGAAUCAUCGAGAAUGAGGCAACGAUCCACUCAAUUGUGGAGCUGCAUAUGAGCAAGUGGUACUCAUACUGAGGUCAGUGGGCUGAGGCUCUUUGCUUGGUUGCUAGGCAACAAGGGACCUGCUAUUCUGUGGCCCAUCGAUAUCAAUAUGAAGCAUUAACCAAACCACCCUCCUGGUUCCACUUAUAUGAUGGCUGCAUGGAAAUGCUGGGUAACAGAAGAGGAUUAUGUAAUGUGGAAAAAGUGAAAGUUGGCACUGCACAGCAAGGCUUCAUCUUUGAAGCAGGAGUGAUUCAAUAGGAAAGAUCAUCUGCUGGUUGUGGUUCCUGCUUAAAUUAAAGAUGCUGGAGGAAGCAUGAGAAGUGGACCCAUGCCAAGUCUCUGUACCACAAGAUGAUUGGAACACCUGGAGUAUAAGUGGAGUAAAGAGUACAGAAGAAAUGCCUCUGGCGGAAAAUUUGAAGCAGUUUCUGUGCAAGACUGGAGCUCACACAUGAAGCCAACUCUGAGGAAGUACAAAGUGUUGUCCCCAAUCCUCGUAAUAUCCAGCUUCUUUGGCAGCUUGCUCUGCCCAAAAGAAGAUAGGAGACAGACAGACAGACAAACACACAGGCAUACACACAGAUGCGCAGAUGGACAGACAAUAAACUUUUCCUGGGGAUGUGAAGCUCCUCAGGUCCCUUCAGACCUCCAAGCCUUUGCAUAUGCU
This 744-nucleotide long non-coding RNA is filed under the name Homo sapiens (human). Its description in RNAcentral is "HSALNT0095710". Lineage: Eukaryota; Metazoa; Chordata; Mammalia; Primates; Hominidae. The record is from RNAcentral.